AGUGAACGCUGGCGGUAGGCCUAACACAUGCAAGUCGAACGGCAGCACAGUAAGAGCUUGCUCUUACGGGUGGCGAGUGGCGGACGGGUGAGGAAUACAUCGGAAUCUACUUUUUCGUGGGGGAUAACGUAGGGAAACUUACGCUAAUACCGCAUACGACCUACGGGUGAAAGCAGGGGAUCUUCGGACCUUGCGCGAUUGAAUGAGCCGAUGUCGGAUUAGCUAGUUGGCGGGGUAAAGGCCCACCAAGGCGACGAUCCGUAGCUGGUCUGAGAGGAUGAUCAGCCGCACUGGAACUGAGACACGGUCCAGACUCCUACGGGAGGCAGCAGUGGGGAAUAUUGGACAAUGGGCGCAAGCCUGAUCCAGCCAUACCGCGUGGGUGAAGAAGGCCUUCGGGUUGUAAAGCCCUUUUGUUGGGAAAGAAAAGCAGCAGGUUAAUACCCCGCUGUUCUGACGGUACCCAAAGAAUAAGCACCGGCUAACUUCGU
RNAcentral lists this ribosomal RNA (491 nucleotides) under uncultured bacterium. RNAcentral's name for it is "partial 16S ribosomal RNA". It matches the Rfam family "Bacterial small subunit ribosomal RNA", at positions 29 to 506 of the family's 1533-position model. The record is from RNAcentral.